This 638-nucleotide ribosomal RNA is filed under the name uncultured Marteilia. RNAcentral describes it as "partial 18S ribosomal RNA". It matches the Rfam family "Eukaryotic small subunit ribosomal RNA", at positions 279 to 944 of the family's 1831-position model. The record is from RNAcentral. Lineage: Eukaryota; Endomyxa; Ascetosporea.
UAUUAUCCACGGCGUGGACCACGAGGCUGCCACCUAUCAACUUUUGACGGUAGGGUAUUGGCCUACGGUGGUUGCAACGGGUACGGGGAAUCAGGGUUCGAUUCCGGAGAGUAGGCCUGAGAAACGGCCGCCAUUGCUACGGCACCCAGCAGGCGCGCAAAUUUGUCAAUAUUCGAACGAAUGAACAAGUAAGAACGUAUGGUCGGGUGGGACGAAUUUCGUUACCGCCACGUCGAUGAGACUAGUCAAAAACCUAGUCGAUCACCGCUGGAGGGCAAGUCUGGUGCCAGCAGCCGCGGUAAUUCCAGCUCCGGGAGUUCACGGGACUAUUGCUGAGACUAGAACGUCUGUAGUCGGAAGUAACACCGCGGCUUCGCCUCCUCUCGGAUCGAGACGGUAGCGCGUCGGGGCGGCACGACCCGGCUUUCGCGUUCAGGCGCGGGAGUUCGCGGUCCGCAUCCUUGACCUAAACCAAACGAUCAAAGUGAGCUCGUGCUCGAUGGUUUUGCAUGGAAUCGUGGAACGGGGCCGACUCUGGACGCUUUGCCAGGGUUGGCGACGAUCAACGGGAGCGAUCGGGGGUGAGGGAACUGCAGGGCGAGGGGUAAAAUCUGAUGAGCCUUUCAAGACCACCCGAA